GACGAACGCUGGCGGCGUGCUUAACACAUGCAAGUCGAACGGAAAGGCCCUGCGUUUGUGGGGUGCUCGAGUGGCGAACGGGUGAGUAACACGUGAGUAACCUGCCCCUGUCUUUGGGAUAACUUCAGGGAACUGCGGCUCAUACAGGAGAGGAGCUCCUGCUGCGCGGUGGGGGUUGGAAAGUUUCGGCGGUUGGGGCUGGACUCGCGGCUUAUCAGCUGCUUGGGGGGGUAGUGGCUUACCAAGGGUUUGACGGGUAGCCGGCGUGAGAGGGGGACCGGCCACAUUGGGACUGAGAUACGGCGCAGACUCCUACGGGAGGCAGCAGUGGGGAAUAUUGCACAAUGGGCCGAAGCCUGAUGCAGCAACGCCGCGUGCGGAAUGACGGCCUUCGGGUUGUAAACCGCUUUCGCCUGUGACGAAGCGUGAGUGACGGUAAUGGGUAAAGAAGCACCGGCUAACUACGUG
Molecule: ribosomal RNA, 468 nt
Filed under: uncultured bacterium
Lineage: Bacteria
Description: partial 16S ribosomal RNA
Rfam family: Bacterial small subunit ribosomal RNA
Source: RNAcentral